ACAUGUGUGGGAACAGGUGGACACAAUCAGGAAUCAGGGAAGACAAUCAGACUGGUGACACAUGAGGAAGGGCAAGCAACCUGAAACAAUAGGAGAGUUCAUUUCCAAAAUAAAACAGGAAGUCACAAAACAAACGUGGAGACAGGACAAAAACCCAACUUGACAUACAGGUGUGACAGUUUGUCAAACUUAACAGUACUUAAAAUAUUGCAUUUGAUAGUCUACUUAAGUUAAGAACACUUAUAUUAAAUUGGAGGAACUUGAAAUUGUGUCUGAAAAUAUCCAACAGCACCGAACAUUUUGUGUUGAGUAUACUCAAAAUAGCUUUGCAGCUGGUUGCUUAACUAUUAUGUUAAGUUUUCUCAACUUUUCAAAUUUCAUUGCCAAGUACACUCAAAAUCCGUUGCCAUGCUGCCUCUAUUUUUAAAUUUAAAAGUGUACACCGCUUUGGCAUAGAUGAGCCCAAUAAAUGGGAAACGCUAUUGAGAUGUCGCAUACAUCAUACGGGACAAUUCGUUGCUCAGUAACCAGGGCGAUGCUCGUUGUUGUUGGACUUGAGCGGACCGUUCCAACGUCACCUUCAACCACUGUGACGAGGUAGAACUCCCUGGACACAAGACUCCGGGUCUGUACUCUACAGAAAAACAAGCAUACAGAAAGUUUAAUAAAUAAUCCCCCCCUUUUUAAAUAUCCAAACCGACCCACGAUACUGCACAAUUAUUAGUGUCAGUGUAAAAGCACAAAAGGCAUCUUUUCAUUCAGUCCAUUUUAAAAUGUCUUGUUUCAGACUUAUGAUUUAGGUCCCAGCUCAAAUGUAAUUUAGAACCCCUGCUGUACCACAUUCCUAAACUACUGGUUGAUUACCUGUUGAUCCUCAUGUCCUUCCCAAGUGUUCCACUGUGUGAUCUGUACAGCUUAAUGAGCUGCAAUGAGCAUCAGAAGAUGACAGGAAGGUCUGCAUCAGGUCCACUCGUGUAACUUGAUUCUGAAAAACUCUGCACAGAUCUAAGAUGACAGGUUUCAUGUCAAAUGUAAUGUACAAUUGAUUAAAAUCUUAUUUUUGGAUCUUUCCAAAGAAGGGAGAACAUUUGGCAAAAUGUAUAUUUAACACAUAAAUGAAGGUCUCACUAGUAACAAAAAGAAAUGUCCUCCUGUCCUCCUUUUUUGGAGUUGCGCUGGGACUGAGCUGGGAGCCACGUACAAAGAGUGCUUACAACGUAGUAAUGUUGGCUUUAGUAAUUAAAGCCAAACCGCAAGACUUGGAUUGUCGUUAAAUGAAUACACAUGAAGUUAUGAACAGGUGAAAAGUCCCUUGCGUUGUAAGCAUGUUAAUUUUAACCCUUUCAUUAAAAAAAUGGUUUGCUGACUAACUAGUCAAGAACAAAAACAGUCUCGCGUGGCUUUGUAAAAUACAAACCCAUACAUUUGGUUGCUGCAGACUCUGGUUGAGGAAAUUUUUACUUUUACAAUAAAACAAUAGUUGCUUCGAAAGGAGGCGCUAACGCCUACUUUAACACCGUGAAAUCACCUGAAAAUAUUACACAAUCAUUUUUAUCAAUAGUUUAACGGAUAGUUAGCUAAAAACUGUCCAUAUCAGGAGACUGUCACGUUAUACAUACGUGUGUGUGUGUGUGUGCGCGCACACCAGCGUGUGUGCUUACUAACAUAUAUACCCAUGCCCACUGGCCUUAGUUACGUCAGAAAAUGUCCAACUAUACCAAGUUUUCUCUACUUAGAAGGUUUCAGUGUGUGUCAAUGCUAAGAGGGUAAUCUGUAUAUACUGUCAAAAGCCACCAACGCCACCUUAGGGAAUUUCACCCCAGGACUUAACAGGGACCACCAGUCUAUGGUCAACAACAGGACACAGGUUCGGACAACACAUACAGGCAUGUGAUUCCACAAACAAUAUUAUACAAGUUUAUUUUAAUAUCAAAUUAUGUUCUCAAUACAAUCACAAUCAUAAAAUCUCUCUGGUCCUCAGUCAUUCAGGUUGCCAUGGAAUGCAACAUACUGGAGGGGGGUGGGAGGGCUGAGGGUUCACCGGCGGAGAUGACUUGCUGAGGGGAAAGGAGCCCAAUGUUCCACCACACAUGAAAACAAAAACAAACCACACACCAACUAUUACAAUAUUACUAUACAACGAAAAAUGAAGAGAACCACCACCACCAGGAUCAGCCAGUCACUACUACCAGUGGCACCAACAGCUCCUGUUCAUCAAAACAAAAAUCAACCAUGAGUGAGCGAGUGAGGCAGGCAGGCACUUUAACAGCAGUUGGUCCACUUCCAAGUCUUUGGCCAGCAGAAGAUCACCUGCAACCAACAAAGUUGUUUUCUAUCAGGGAUCAUCACCUGCCAGGGAGCUCUGAGUUGACAGAAACAACCCGAUGAGCCCGCUGCACAGUCUUUGGAAAACAUAAAUUAAUAUUAGCUAUUUUUAAAGGGUAGUUUAUGGUGGUUUUCUUUUAUCAAAGCACAUCUGUCCGUCACUAUCCCAGAUCAUUCCCAUUUAGAAAUAGAAAAGUUAUGUACUUUCUGAUAUUAUUAAUCCAUUAUCUAUUUAUUGUAAAUAAACAACGUAUUUACUCAAGUGGUCUGUCGUAUUCUUUAAAGCAAUAACUAUAUCAAUUAAUUCACAUUUCAUAACCACUACAAAGACCUGGAUGACAAUGUUGUUGUUGAGGAAUAAACUGUGGCGACCUAAAGCGAAUGAUGAUCAAUUUACAUUAAGUUCUUUAUUGCGGAAUUUAAAAAAGUUUGCCGACAACCAUGACGUACGUCCAAAUAGACAACUCAAUAAGUCCAUUAUAAUUUUAUUAGAACAGCUCAUAGUUUUUGGUGGGAAGAGAAGGAUUGUGAUUAUGAACAUUUCAAGGGUUUUGGAUAAUACGGUGGUUAGUGUUUGUCUUUCGAGAUCUUAGCAUUUAUUUCGAUGAGAACAAUAGCGUUAGAAGUGAUGCCUAAAUAUGAGAAUUAAAAAAAUGGAAAAGGUUGUUCCAUUCGAUCAGUGGUUCUCAACUGGUCUGGCUCCGGGACCCACCAUCACCCCUUAAUGACAAGCCGCGACCCAAAUCGAGGAACAUUCUCAGCUUCUCGAAUUUAUUUAAUGAAAAUAUGGUGCAGUUUGAACCUGAGAUAGUAUGGAGACAGAAUAUGUAUGCCAACACAAAAACAAGUUGAAACAGCCAGCUGUUAAUUCUAAUUUUUAUUUUCCCAGGCAAAGACUCAUUAGAAAUGGGUCCGCGACCCACCGGUUGAGAAUGACUGCAUUAGAUAAUUAUUGUUUACAUUUACGAUUUGCGAUUAUUGAAGAAACUCUUAAGCGCAUUUCCAAUUCUAUAUAUUGUGUGUUGAAAGCCUCACACAAUAGUAUUGCAUUUUAUAGCUAUGAACAGAGAUAUUUUGGCAUACACCUGCUGUUUGUUUAUCAAAAACCAUAUGAGAUUUAGAAAAACUUAUUGAAUAUUAUUAGAAAUCAAUGUGUGAGUUUCGGGGAAAUAUUGUGAAGUGAAAAGAAAUUAUCAAGCAAAGGUUACAUUGAAAAGUGGUGCGGAUGUUCAGAUAAAGACAAAAAAAGAAAGAAGGCUAGAUGGGAACGAAAUUCAAAUUAAAGACCCCUCGAAGGUGUGCGCCUUAUUAAAUUCACUUUUUUUUCUCUACCUUUUAUUAUUGCCACAGCAGAUAAGCUAAUUUCUUUAGUUGAUUAGCUACCCUCCGCGCAAUGGCAAUACAUAAUACUGAGGAAAACACAAAUCAAAACAUUCAAAAUGCAACUGAUUAUUAGAAGGUGAAAUACAGACGAUGGACUGGGAUUAUCCAAGAAAAGCUAAUAGCACAGGCACUGCCUGCAUGGGUUUUGCUGGAGAACACCAGAAGGGUAUUCAUUUGUCUCACAAAAACAGGGAUAGCGCAAGAAUGAAAAAAAAUAAAAAGGGGAAUUACCGGGGAAUAGAGAGAAACAAGUCAAAAAACAUAACAGAGGUCUUUUGUAUUUCGGUGGCUCUCCCUCUGCACUGCCCGGCUGAAUUGCGGUGACCUAGAGCGAUUCUUUAACAAAUAAGAUUGCCUUUGUGUGCGCAUUUUUUUUCUGUUGACAUUUGCUAAGCGCUAGAGCUCCUGGCCAUGGGAGAUAGAUGAGGACCCUAAAAUGUCUGUGUAUCAGCCAGGGCCUUUCAUGUUACCUAGAGAGCAAUGGUUGUGUUUGUGGUGUGUGUGAGUGAGUGAGUGAGAGAGAGUGAGUAUCAUGAGGAGAGAGAGAAAAAGCAAUGUGAUUGCCGUUCAGUAGAUAUCCACCGAAGCUUUGUUUCUGACAGCGGUAAAGGUUAUUGCGGCCCAUUUCUCGCCCUGCUGUGUGUGUUUUAGGUGUGUGUGUGUGUGUGUGUGUGUGUCUGUCUGUAUGCAGGUAGGGGGGGGGGGAUACCUUAUUGUUUUUUUGUAGCAGCCCAUUUAUUGUGCCCUCCCACUAACUUCCAUUGAUUGGUAAAUACUUAAUCUCAGGCAGGAUCUUUUAUGUAUUCAUGGGACUGUCAGCUGAAUUUGAUCUACAAUCAGAUCACAGUUGAGGAUCUGAUGUGUUUAGGAGACCACGGAUCACAUGGGUGAAAAAGAGGGAGGCCGAAAUUGAUGUAAACUGGCAAAAUGGAGCGAUGAGAUUAGCAAAGAAAACCCUCUUUACUCACAUUGCAGUUAAAGAGAUAGUGAAUGGCGCUUGAUGUGUACUGAUUGUUACCAACCUGACGCUACGACCCAACAACAACAAAGGUAGACAUUAAUGAGAGAAAAAAAAUCCUCUUACCCAAUUAUUUUUACACUUUUCUAUAAUCUUUUUACUUUUUCUAUACAUCAGUGAAAUGUCCAUGAAUGAAGACUUACGGACAUAUGGAGCGGAACACGUAACCAUAUGCGGUUUCAAUUAGGAGGUCAUUUUGCUUAAUGGCCGCACACAUUUUCAUUCUCCGAUGACAUUAAUCACUUUUAAUCAGUGACAGAUAUCGGAUGUAGCACAUUUUGUAAAGGCACACCUUGUAGUUUUAGUUUUUAUUAAAUGUUAAUUAAACAGAAGCAAAACAUGGACGCAUUGGGGACCAUUUACUGAUUCUAUAUACAGUGCAGUGCGUGUGUGGCUCAUUGACGUGUUUUUAUAGUUUGUGAGAACCAAAUGAGCAGUAUGGCACACAGGGAUAAGAUAUAUCAGGCUAUGAUGGAGACAGUACUUAUUAGAUCUGAUGGUUAUCUACAGUAUUGACAGUUUUUCCAUCCAUCUCCAAAGUUUUUUUAUCCUUCACACAGGGACGGGGGGGGCUGGAGCCAAUCCCAGCUAAUACUCUACAGUAUAGCCUCGUAAAACUCUUACUGUCAUUAAAUCCCAGCUUGACUCAUGUGAUCAUGAGUUCACUUAAGCUGUAUUCACUCGCAAUAGACGCCGUUGCUGCUGUGAGAUGCAUGUAGUGGUAAAAACAUUCUGUAAACAAUUGUCUUGUGCUAAAAGCCAGGUCUCAGUGGUUGACCCUGAGAUGUAGAGAUAGAAAGAUUUAGGGUUUGCAGCUGUGUUUGGGGAAGGGGGUUAACUUGUUCUCACAGACCUUCAAUCAGAGGAGCAUUGUGUGUUAUCCUCAACUUCACCUGAGUUCUUAUAUCAACUUGAUUUGUGGCUUCUCGUAACUGGCACGAAGAACUGUCUUCAAGUGUAUCAAAACUCCGCGUUUUUACUGCUCGGAGACGCCAUUACACAGAACGCUGGAAUACGUGCUGGUGUGUUGGACCUCCUGCUUGCAAGCAAUAGUUAGAGCCAGAUAUCUGCGGAGAAUUGCUCAUGUAAUCUUUUUCUCUUCUAAAUAAAUGUUAACUUUUUAAUUGAUCAACGUGCUGGAUCCUUCUCAUCAACCGACUCGGGGGGAUUGGAGAUCCUGACAUUGCCCAGGAAAUUCAUCUGUUAGGAAAAUGUUAACAUUAUCGAAUGUGAUUUAAGUACAUUUUAGCUAAAAUGCUUUGUCUCCUAGUGGCGCAUCACAUUUUCACUUUGUCUAUAUUCAGAUUUUGGGAAUUAUUCAGAGUGUUGCGUUCCCCAGUUUCUGUGUCUGUUGUCUUCCUAAACUCAGGUGAUUCCAGGAGCAGCCGUCCCCAGAUGGGAGAUCUGGCCCCACCUACUCAUCAGUGGCAGCACCUGGUUUCCCGCCCUCGGAAGGAUAUAUAAGGAUUACAUUUGUUGUGGUUCUCUCUCUCUGGUGUCCUGUGUGGGGUGUAGUAAGAGCGAGAGGUGAUGCUGUGACUUUUUUUUCUGUGGCUGUGAGAAGUGCAUUUUCAGUUUUGUAUUUACCGGGUUUUUUUUGUUCCCAGGGAAAAGGGGAAGCACCGUGGGAGUGUGUAAGCAAGCUGCCCAUGGGCCUACACCACGCGUAGUCAUCCUCCUGUCUAGAAACACUAGGCAAGACCUGGGUGGACCACCCCUCUGUAUUUUGGUUAGUGAGCCUUGCUAGUGCUCAAAGCUAGGUUAGUGGGGGGGGUGUUUCAGGUCAGGUAGGCAAGAGGGACUGUUUUGUUUUGUUCUUUGCUUUGCUUCCGUCCAACCCCUUUUCCCAAGCAACCGUAGGCUAUAUACAUAUUUUAUAAUAAACAUUUCUUUUUACGGGUUAUAUGUGGUUUGGGCAUCAGUGCAUCCACACACAAUGCCACCCGGCACACAGAGAUUCACACAGGAAUGAUAAUCCCGUAGAAGUGACCUUAAUGAAUGCGGAUUUUCAAGGGAAGGGAGACGCGAGGCGGGUGAGGACGCCGGAGGGACGCGAGGCGGGUGAGGACGCCGGAGGGAUGCGGGGCCGGAGGGACGCGAGGCGGGUGAGGACGCCGGAGGGAUGCG
Gasterosteus aculeatus aculeatus (three-spined stickleback) is the source of this 6853-nucleotide long non-coding RNA. NCBI's taxonomy places the organism in Eukaryota, Metazoa, Chordata, Actinopteri, Perciformes, Gasterosteidae. The record is from Ensembl.